Molecule: long non-coding RNA, 132 nt
Organism: Lepidothrix coronata (blue-crowned manakin)
Lineage: Eukaryota; Metazoa; Chordata; Aves; Passeriformes; Pipridae
Exons: 3
Source: RefSeq, a predicted model, not a curated record
UAUGAACUCAGCUAUUUCCAGAGAAACCCUCAGUCCACUGAUUCUUCUGGAAGGAAAAGAUAUGAACGCAGAAAAUACAGUACUGAAAGAGAGAGACGUGACAUCACCCAGGGGAAAGAACCUUCCAGGUCC